Arachis stenosperma is the source of this 1643-nucleotide long non-coding RNA. RefSeq lists it as uncharacterized. Lineage: Eukaryota; Viridiplantae; Streptophyta; Magnoliopsida; Fabales; Fabaceae. The record is from RefSeq and is a predicted model, not a curated record. The transcript has 5 exons.
GGAAAAGAAAUUCUAAAAUUGCGCUUCCAGCUGCCACCUUCCCUCUCCCCCUGAGAUUCGAGCUUCACUCACUGAGUCACUGACUCGUUUGAUGGCGCCCCCGACCGAAAUCAAAGCUGCUGGCUCCAACGUGGCGGUGCCUUCUGCAUCAUCGUCUCAACCGUUGCGGCCGCCACAACCUUCAUCUGCCUCUUCCUCCUCCUCUGCUCCUCCUCCUCCUUUGCAGUAAGAUUACAAGCAGUGUUUACAAGACCUUGCUAAAAAAUUAAACAUAGUUCUUCCAGAGUAUGAAACAACUCGUGAUAGAUCUUCAGAAGUUCCAAUGUAUAGGUCAACUGUGCUGGUGGAUGGAAUGAGUUUUACCGCUGGGAUCACUUUAUCCACUCGAAAGGCUGCUGAACAAGAUAUUGCCAGAGUUGCUUUUGAGAACCUAUAUAAGAAAGUUAAAGAUCAUGGAUGUGCUCUUGUUUGUGAGGUUUGACAAUACUGCAUUUGCCAAGUCUGCUUUGGAUGAAUUUGCUGCAAAACUGAAUACAAGACCUACUUAUAACACUGUUAAGCUAGAAGGUCCACCUCCUUGUUUUGAAUAUUCUGUGAUCUUUGAUGGCACACAAUACACGGGGGAUACUGCUAAAGACAAAAGCGAGGCUGAGCAGUUAACAGCACGUGCUGUUCUUCUUUCAUUCUAGUUCUUUACAACAGGUGGUGCUAACGCAGCAACACUUUACGGGAUGAUAAAAUCACUAUCUAGAAUUUAUGCAGCAUGCAAAGGAAACAACAUCCAAUGUGUUGUCGCUGGCCUGUAUCAUCCACAGCAACUAUAGGACAUGCUUCUAAUAUGCAGGAUCAUAAAGAUAAUAUAGUUGCAACUACAGUACACGCUUCUGAUCUAGGGGAUCAUAAAGAUAAGAAAGCUGGAACUAAAAGACGUGCUUCUGUUCGGCUGGCCAAUAAAAAUAAGGUAGUUGCAACUACCAGACAUGCUUCUGAUCCGCAAAAUCAUAAAGCUAAGGAAGUUACAACUACAGUACACACUUCUGAUCCACAGAAUCAUAAAAAUAAGAAAGUUGGAACUAUUACACACGCUUUUGUUCCGCAGGACAAUAAAGAUAUAGUUGCAACUACAGGACUUGCUUCUGAUCAGAACCAUAAAAGAUAAGGAAGUUUCUACUUCAGGACAUGCAUUUAAUCCACGGGACCAUAAAAGUAAGGAUAACAAUAAAAAGAGAAUUAAACCUGCUUCUUCCAAAAUGUUUUCCUCAUUUCAGAAGCCUGAAGGUGAACCAUCUCUCGAGGCCAUCAAGCUUCUGAAGCUCUUUCUUCAACCAGGAUGUUCAAAAUGACGGACUUGGCAAGAUACUGGUAAUGGUUCCAAUUCAGAAAAGAGGCAAAAGACUGCUGGAAUCUCCGCUACCAAUGCAGCUGUUCAUUGUUCUGCAGCACGACGAUAAUUUGAACGAGCAAUCAAAUUAUUAUGUUGGAUUGAAGAUCUAGUCUCUCUCUGUACAAAACCUUUGUACUAUGAAAAAAAGUAUUUAGUUUUUAUUUUCCUUUAUCUUUGUUAAGAAUACUAACCUUGUAUUUAUUGGCGUCAAGCUGAGUAGCAAUUGAUGAUGUUAUAGUUAAAUCGCUGAUUAUGUUCG